RNAcentral lists this long non-coding RNA (377 nucleotides) under Parus major (Great Tit). Its description in RNAcentral is "lncRNA (ENSPMJG00000018584.1)". Lineage: Eukaryota; Metazoa; Chordata; Aves; Passeriformes; Paridae. The record is from RNAcentral.
CUGAGAACUGGCUUAUGUUGCAAGAAUGCAACCAUCUACUUUGUAAAAUGUACAUUAAUCUCAAACAGCCUUUAUUAUGUGAGUAAGGUGUGAUUGUUUUUGUUUAAAUGGAACUUUUUUUUUUUCAGGAGGGAAGUUGCACCUCAGAACAAGAUAAAGAUUUGAUAAUCUAAGCUCCACUGUGACACAUUAGGAGGAGAGGAAGGGGCUGUUUGUUAAACCAGCACUGUUGGAGAGCAAAGCUCUUGGAAGACAGUGAGGAGCAGCAGCACAAGACUACAAAAACUUGGGGUUAGCAAUGCUGAAGUAUGUUGUUCUAUCCCAGGUCCGAGUCCUGUCCAGCACCAGCACCCAAUGCAGAUCUUGGAGAGCAAAUG